This 74-nucleotide transfer RNA is filed under the name Myxococcales bacterium. RNAcentral's name for it is "tRNA-Thr". It matches the Rfam family "tRNA". Rfam says of the family: Transfer RNA (tRNA) molecules are approximately 80 nucleotides in length. Lineage: Bacteria; Pseudomonadati; Myxococcota; Myxococcia; Myxococcales. The record is from RNAcentral.
GCCUCUCUAGCUCAGCAGGAAGCAGCAGCUGUUUCGUAAACAGCCGGUCGUCGGUUCGAGUCCGACGGGAGGCA